This 504-nucleotide ribosomal RNA is filed under the name uncultured delta proteobacterium. Its description in RNAcentral is "bacterial SSU rRNA". It matches the Rfam family "Bacterial small subunit ribosomal RNA", at positions 1 to 486 of the family's 1533-position model. The record is from RNAcentral. Lineage: Bacteria; Deltaproteobacteria.
GCGGGGGCACGGGGGGAGAGUUUGAUCCUGGCUCAGAACGAACGCUGGCGGCGUGCUUAACACAUGCAAGUCGAACGCGAACGAUUUCUUUCGGGAAAUUUAGUAGAGUGGCGCACGGGUGAGUAACGCGUAAGUAAUCUACCUAGGCAUCUGGGAUAACAAUUCGAAAGGAUUGCUAAUACCGGAUUCGUUGGAGACAAGAAAGGUGGCCUCUGUUUCAUGCUACUGUGCUUAGAGGAGCUUGCGUACCAUUAGCUAGUUGGUGGGGUAAUGGCCUACCAAGGCGACGAUGGUUAGCGGGUCUGAGAGGAUGAUCCGCCACACUGGAACUGGAACACGGACCAGACUCCUACGGGAGGCAGCAGUGAGGAAUAUUGCGCAAUGGGGGCAACCCUGACGCAGCGACGCCGCGUGGAUGAUGAAGGCUUUCGGGUCGUAAAAUCCUGUCAGAUGGGAAGAAGUGCAUAUGUAUUAAUACUAUUUAUGUUGACGGUACCAUCAAGA